Molecule: long non-coding RNA, 6407 nt
Filed under: Panax ginseng (ginseng)
Lineage: Eukaryota; Viridiplantae; Streptophyta; Magnoliopsida; Apiales; Araliaceae
Description: long non-coding RNA (PGIN_LNC008529)
Source: RNAcentral
AUGAUUGCAACGACGGUGUAUGAGAGGCCGCAGUCGCCAAGCUUCGCUUUCUUCAUAAAAGUAUCGAGACCGGUAACGUUGAAUUCACCAUUCCCGUCGAUUAGCUGAGUCGCACAACGGCACAGCCACACAAGCCUCUUUGGAAGAUUUCCUUUGAGAGAAGACUUGAAGACUUGGCUUAUGCCUGGCCGCGACAGCUAGUUGGUGAUUUUCUAUUGGCACUUUCUUGGGUUUUUUUCUUGUUUACUCAUGGCACAACUAUCUUCUUUUCCCAUAACUAAGAUUCUAAUACUGAUUAUGUUAUGUGUAUACAGUAUAUUGCCCCUCUGCUCUGCUCGACUGCUCUGAAUUCCGAUUUAUUGGGUCCUGGAGGCUGGAGGUAAAAUUAUAUUCCCUUUAUAUGUGAUCAGAUUUAUCAUUUAUGGGUUUUUGUUUCCUUUUUGUUUUGGGGUUAAUAUAUAUGAUUAAUGAUAUAAUGAUACUCUGGUAAAGUUUCUGUCUUUGGGUUUAGAGAAAUAAUAUUUUUGAUUGAUAGAUUGAUUCGUCUUGUUUAAACAACUCUACGUGUUUUUACAGUCACGAUAGAAAGAGCAUUUUCAGCUAUAAAAUAUGUUAAAAUUGCUCUUCGCAAUAAAAUGAAAGAGGAGUUUUUAGCAGAUUCUAUAAUGAUUUACAUUGAACGAGAACUUCUUGAAGAUAUCGAUUCAGAUUCCAUAAUAGACGAAUUCUAUUCUACAAAGCAUAGAAGGAUGCAACUUAAAUAGUGUGUUUUAUUUUCUUUUUUUCUUGUAUGUUAUGUACCUUUGAACCUUACUACUAUGUAUGAUUUUGAAUUUGUGAUUGAUCUUGGUGAGACAAUUUUUUGGUAGCCCAGUAAAAAAUUAAUUUCUAACUCCACCCUUGUUUAUGUUACCUUUGUUAUGUGAUAGUAGCAUUAUAUACAAUGCGGCAGGCGAAACAUGCAAGUUACAACGCUGAUGAUAGAAUGAUGUGUCUACUUUCUCAUGGAUGUAAAAUAAUAAUGUAACUACUAUAAUUUAUAAUACUAUUUUAUUUUUAUUGUUAGUAUUAUGUAAAUUUAAAAUUAAAAGAAAAGAAAAAGGAAAUUAUUCUCUCAAUACGUGAUAUAUUAGUAAACACGCAAGUAGUAUAAUUCAUUCAUUCAUUCAUUCUAAAAGAUAACGAUUUCUGUGACUAAUACUACUAGUACUGGCUACUGCAGUUGGAUUGAUUAGAUAAGAUAUUAUGCAUGCAACAAAUUUAAAGAUAAGGUUUUGUCCACCAUCAUCUCCAUCUCUACGCUCCUCCUACGUACGUACAUACAUAUAUAAGUACGUAUGUAGGUACACCCUACUAUAUAUGUAAACUCUCUACCAACUCCUCUACGAUCCGUUCUUUAAUAUAAGUCUAAUAUUUUCGUCUCUUAAUAUAAAUUAUUUAAUUUUUAAUAUUAUUCAAGUACUACUCUGUUAAAUAUAAUUUUGAUUUUAUGUCUUAUAAAUAAUAAUAUCUUUUUUUAAUACAAAGACAAGUAAUAAUAUCAUAUUUAAAACUAUACAUACAUACAUACAGUAUACAUAUAUGCAUACGUAUGUAGUGUCACCCACCCCAAAGUUAUACUAGUAUCUUCUCUUCUUCUUCGGUGAUUAACUGUAUACUACUAGUAGUAGUACUAUAUAAGAUUCCCUUACCAUAAAUUUUGCAUCUAUAUAUCUAUAUCUAUCGUUCUUUAAUAAGAGAAAUCAAUUAAAAACAGAAAAGGGAAAGUGAGUCAGUACUACCUUAUCAUCCAUUUUGUUUUUCUUAAGAUAAUUUCUAAAUUUUAAAAUUGAUAUUAUUUCAUUUUAGUCCUAAUAUAACAAUGAAUGAUAUUCCUAUCCCUUGUAAUUAAUACUAUAAGAUAUUUGUAUUAAUUACAAAUUUCUUUCAUUUAUUUAAAAAAUCAAAAUAUAUCUUCAAUUUUAGAAAGAGAGAAACAAAAUAAGAUACUAAAUAUUAAUUACAAAUUAAUUUCUUUCAUUUAUCUAAAAAGUCAAAAUAUACCCCGACCCAUCUUUUAAUUUUAAAAAGAGACGAGUGUUAUGAUUUCUUCUUCGAUCCUCUAACAAGAAUAACAAACAAAGAGUAGAAAGAGAAAUUAAAGCACUAAAUAUUACUCCGUAAUUGCAAAUUGAGUGACAACAUGAUGGAGUCAACCAAACAACAUGCAUGACCCACAUUGCCCCCCCUAGGCUCUAGCAGCGAUCCAUUUUCAUCAUCAUCUUGAUCACCAAAGUGACAAAUUCUAAUUAACAAAACAUACUACUAGAAUUAAACAUCAAAAUUAGUCUCAAAUCUUAAUUUCACACCCUAAAGCAGCCGAUGUGGUUGUGGUGGUGGUGGUGUUGGUGGUCCCUAUCAAUCAUACUCCGAACGUUACGAAACUGGUCGACACGGCAGGGAAUGAUGAUUGGGCCUUUGUGAUCAAACCCGUACUCUUCCUCGGCCUCUUUUAGCAACUGCAUGAAGAGCGGGUGAUUGAAGUAAAUGACGGGCACCACAAAUCUCUCUUUUUCUUCCCCCUGCCCAACCUUCACUGCCAAACACCCCUUCGGCACAUCGUCUCCAACUCUCACUUGCUGCUGCUGCUUUCCUCUUCCGCCCAUCUAAUCUAUCUAUCUAUCUGCAAUUAACUCACAACAAAACAAAAAAGAAAAGAUUUUUUUAUUAUUAAGAAUAUAUAUAUAUAUAUAUAUAUAUAUAUAUGAUGAUCGAUCAGAAUGGACAAGGUUCAACAGUUAUGGCUUGUUUGGGGAGGGAACAAGGAAUAAUGUUGGUCAUGGCCGUGGACAACAUGAAUAGCGGCGCGCUGCAAUAUUUUUUUACAGAGACUGCAAACUAUAUAUAUACGGCUUUAUAUAUUUCUACAAAUAAAAUAUACACAACAUCUAUCUCUCUCUAUAUAUUUAUAUAUACCGCUAGUAGGGUUUCUGUUGUUUAUAUAUAUAUAUAAUAAAAUAAUAAAUAAACAAUUACUACCACCCUUUGGUGUGUGUUUUGUGGCGUUAUGACGGAACUGGGAGUGGCAAGGUUGUAAAUUUGGGUGGGAGGAACGGAAAUUAAGACACGUGGAGAGUGGAGUGGCAUAGGGGAGGACACGUGGAAUUGGAAAAUCUACUAUCUAUUAUAUAUACUAAAUCACAUUACAUGACACCAUAUAUUGACAAAUGUCCUUCUACAAAUUCAACACUUGUCCAUCUUAAAUAGUUUUAAUUAUGUCACAAUUAUCUUAAUUAUAUCCUAUCCUUUUUUAAAUUAUGAAAAAAUAAUAACAAAUCAAUUAUCUUAAUUAUAUCCUAUCUUUUUUUAAAUUAUGGAUAAAUAAUAACAAACUAAGUAGAAUUUAAUCUCUUCAACAACUAAUGAGCACAAUUUUAUAUGGAUAAAACUUCUUAACUGAAUACGUAUAUUAAUCAGGCUAAUUAUUUAUUCUCAUAAGUGAAUAAAAACCAUGACUUCUUCUUCUUCUUCUUUCACGGUCAAUUUUCCUUUUUUUUUCGUUUUGUCUCUCUGUCUUUCUUCUACUUAUGUCAUUCACGUUUCCAUUAUAUACACACAUUAUUACUUACAUGUUACAGCCAUAUGCAGGAGUGUGAAACAUAACCCAGAAGCGGGUGGAAUUAUUUCAUUGGUUUGCCUAUUUUCUAAAUUUUUAGAUAUUAUGUGCUAAAAUUUGAGAUUAUUGCAUUUGCAUUUAGUUGCUGAUAUGCGGAAUAAUGUUUGCAAUUGAUUUGAUUGAUCUGAUAUUUGUGUUGUCAAUCGUGUUUAAUUGAAAAUUUUGGUGGGUUUUCGAUUGGAAAGUUUGUGUUUAGAUUAGAGCUAUUCACGUUUCUUAUAUCAACAGUAAGGAACUGGGUUUAUUUCUUAAUUUGAUUAUUUAGUAUCUUCAUUUUAAGUAUGUAUUUUGGUUUUGUUAAUAUUAUAAAUAAACACAAACAUGUAAGUAUGCAUGUAAAUGAUGAGGACAUGAGGUAUUUUAUUGGUAUGGCCUGUAGAGUUUUGGUUCUAAUCCACACUCCCGAGUCCCGUGUACAAAUUUACUUUUUAAUUGUUGCCUUUAUUUAGUACAAAUUUACUCUUUUAGACUCUUUUAGACUUAAUCGUUUUAAAUGCGUUAUGGUCUUCUUUUUUUUUUGACUUAUCUCUAAUCUGAUUAUACUAUUUGAUCAUCGCACAAUAAUAUACUAUUUUCUUAUUAUAUUUUAAUUUAUUAAUUAUACGCACAUAUUUAUUAUUAAAAAUUUGAAUAAUCCCGCCGCAACGCAAUAUGUAUCUUAAGACCACAUUUAUACAUUCUUACAAUGUCAAAUUAACUUAAUUGACACAUGUAAAUACAUCAUUAGGUCUUGGGAUUCAAUGAUAAAAAUGUUAAAUUUCAGUUGAAUAUAUUAAAAAAAUACACAUGUUUUAACAGAAAAUAUAAUUCAAUAAUUCUAUUAACACUCAACAAUAACUAAGGAUCACUUUUCCUCUAAAGAAGUUCCAAUUAUGGCCAAGAAACAUAUGUGACUGGCUAGCAUGCAUGGGUAGAUGGAAUUUGAGACUUGAAUAUAUCUUAGAUCAAUAAGACACUAGUCUUACUAAGAUUCUCAUUUCUCUGAGACAGAAAAGAGUGGGGUGGGGGAUAGAGCUGAGCAGGCAGAGAAUAUCAAAUUUUGUUGGGCAUUGAGUUUUUGCAAAAACAUUAUUGGGGAAAAGAAAUGCAUGCGGUAGCUGCUAGUGGUAGUAGUUAGCAAAUAAAAUGAAGGAAAUUAAGGAGAGUUAAGAGAGGAGACAAAAGGAAGGAAGGUAGGUACGCACGUAAUGCAAAAUAAAGCAGUCGGCAUAUGCGAACAGCAGCCAACCAACUAGCUAUGGCCUAUGGCGCCGGCCAUAACAAGAAUUAUUUCCGCGCGGCUAACCAACCGAGAAAAAUGUUGAAAUACUAUUAUACUUAUAAAAGUGAGUUAUCAAUAGAAUUAGUACGAGUAGUAGUAGUAGAAGUAUUUCUGAAGAAAAAGAGCGGUGGGGUUAUUAUAACAUCAUUGAACCAAAAUGAUUGCUUGGCUAGGGUGGUUAUUAAUUAAUUUUUGAAUAAGGCAGGCAGGCAGGCAAAGAAAGAAAGAAAUGAUUACCCAAACAUCCACUAUGGGCGGCUUGGAGAUGAAAUAUUCAGUCCAUCCAAAGUGGGGGGAUAGACAUAGACAAUGUUUUCAACAAAGCAAUAACCGAUAAUAUGAAUGAAGUAAAUGUUUCUCUUUAUUUGACUUUCCUUUUACCACAUUACUAUAAAUUAAAGAUGAAAACAAACCAACUUCCGACCGUCCGUUAGCUACUUAGCUUGAAUAAGGAAAACUUUAUCCUUCCUCAACACAAAAUUAUAAGAUUAUUAUCCACUUUUUAAACUCAAAUUAAAAUAUUUUCAAACUUUAAUUUCAGAUGAUUUAUUCAAAAAUUAUUAAAUAAUAAAUCUUACAAUAAAAUAGUAUUUGUUAGAUAUUUCACGAUAUUCAUCAUUAUAUUGAUUAUAUUUUAAAAAGUCUGUCAAUUUUGAUGAAAAAAAUACUUUUAACUUAAUUUUAAAAAAUCAAUAAUGACCUUAUACUAUACAACGUAGAAAAUACUAUAUAUAUAAAAGGAAAAAAAACAGACGAGUCCAUACUAUUCUAGCAUAGGUAAAAUGAGAAGUGUGAUAAUAUUUUCCAGACGCCUAAGAUUUGAAUCAUGUGUAAAUAUCUAUAUUGAAAUUCGGUAUGUGCACAUUUAGAAGGGAUUGAAUAAGUAUAUCUGUUUUAAUGCUAUAAUAAUAACAUUUUUAAAUUUUCUGUUAAAGAACCAUCCAGACAUAUUAUAAUCUGUCUGUUUAAAUGUUUAUAUAAACCUGUUAUACAAAAUCUUCUUUAACUUAUUCAGACAAAUUAGAACCUUUCUACUUAUGUAUUUAUUUAAACCUGUUACGCUGAGCCUGUUACAAAUUAGUGCAUCUUACUUGGUCAAAGUCUGUUACUAUUUUUUAGGCUUAGACUAAGUCAGUAUUAGCUAUCAAAUAAAGAGUAUUUUAGUCUAUCAAAAUCUCUAUGCAGAGUAGAUUUUAUGCAAAGUAGUUACAUGUUUUUAGAAGUAAUUGUAAUGUUCUUAUCUAUAAAUUCUAGUAGCCUGAUGUAAUUCUUUUAUGCUUGAAUAAAAGUAUUUCACUUUUUUAUCUCCAAUUAAUUUCUCAGAUGGUAUCAAAGCAUCACUGAGGUUCUUCCUUUUCAUUUUUAUUGUCUAUCAAGUUCAUCUUAUUGAAGAAGUUUGAAGCUCAAAAAUGGAAGGGGUUGGAGGAAGCAGUUCUAACGUGCAACAUGGCAUGGAGAAAUUUGUAGGAACAAACUACAUGUAAGACCCCA